ACAUACCAAACAAGCCAGUAUCAUUGGCUGUCUGCGUAUCCCCAACUCACAGACGGUCUCUCUAAGCUGGUAGAUCGAAAACCUAAAUACGAACAACUUAAGUUCUGUCGUAGUGGCUCCUAAUAUCCAAGCCCUAUGACACUAUUGUGGUUCAAACAGCU
Molecule: small nucleolar RNA, 161 nt
Rfam family: Small nucleolar RNA snR161